This 253-nucleotide ribosomal RNA is filed under the name uncultured bacterium. RNAcentral describes it as "partial 16S ribosomal RNA". It matches the Rfam family "Bacterial small subunit ribosomal RNA", at positions 524 to 776 of the family's 1533-position model. The record is from RNAcentral.
UACGUAGGGUGCAAGCGUUAAUCGGAAUUACUGGGCGUAAAGCGUGCGCAGGCGGUUUUGUAAGUCUGUUGUGAAAUCCCCGGGCUCAACCUGGGAAUGGCAUUGGUGACUGCACGGCUAGAGUGUGUCAGAGGGGGGUAGAAUUCCACGUGUAGCAGUGAAAUGCGUAGAGAUGUGGAGGAAUACCGAUGGCGAAGGCAGCCCCCUGGGAUAACACUGACGCUCAUGCACGAAAGCGUGGGGAGCAAACAGG